UGUGCUUUAGGUGCAAAACCUUACGACAUGAAAUGAUUCAUUUUUUAGACUAAUAUACAAUCUCAAUAUUGAAUUUCUCAUUAUUUUUCUUUGUGCUUGACGACAUAAAUGGUUCCAGCAAAAUUAACCUGAUCAACAUUUCAAAUAAUAAUAAGUACAUCAGCAGAGUGCCCAAAAAAAAAAACAGAACUGGGGAAAAAAAAUCUAGACUUUUGCUGGUUCCAGUUAGACUUUGGUAGUACUGGCUUAUUUAGGUCGUGGUGCAGAGAAUGCGGUAGUGGUGGGUUUAAUGGCAAUUGUUAUAAAUAUGAUGGUAAUUUAGACAGCUGGUUUUGGGUUGGGGUGGGACAGUGGGAAAUAUAUGAUGGAGUAUUGAGACCAUCAUAGAUUUGUGUAUUUAUAGUGAUGGUAUGGUUGUGAUGGCGGCGAUGAUCAAGUUGUGUGGCUAGUGGUCUGGAUGGGAUUGGUAGCAAUGCUGUGAUGGUGGUGGUGGCAAUACACAAAAUUGAUAAUGGAGGUGGUUUAGUGAUGGUAGUGCUGCCUGGUAGUCUAGUGUCUGGCGAUGAGCGUGGAGAUCAAAUAGUUGGUUGCUACAUGGCAGUCACUAAUGGUAUCAGUAUCGGUAGGUGGUUGUGUGGACAAUGAGUGAUUGUAAAACAUAAGUGGUGUUGGUCCUAGACUAGCAGUGGAGAUUGGGUGGUGUAGUUAGUCCAUCAGCUGUGGUGCAGGUGGGAUGGCAGGAACCAUCAAGUAAUGGUUUAGUUGGUAUUUGAGGAGACAAAUGGAAAAUACACUUCCAAUUUCACCUUUUUAUCACACUGUCUACAAACCAGGCAGUAAAAGUAAAUAAAAAUGAAACUACAUAAAUCGACACAAAACUAACAGAAUGAUGUUAACCUAGCAGUUAAAAUCAUUUUCAACACAAUAAAAAAAACACACUUUCCUUCACAUACUAGGCACAAUAUAAUCUAAAGCAGGACACCGGCUCUCUGUACCUUUCUUUGUGCAGGAAACUUUCCUUCCAAAUCAUACUUGGUUAUCAUUUACAGCAACAGGCAAUGGAUGUGGCUUGGUCGGAGAUAUUUAUUUAGCUUUCGCUGUUACAGAAAAGAAAAAAAACCAAUGAGCACAAACCUGAAAGACUUGGCAAUAACAAUAAUCAAACAAACAAAAGACUGAGCAACAGGCAAUGGACUACCGAAAAAAAUAUUGCUUGUGUCUUGAUUUAUGCACUUACCAAGAUUUAUGGUCAUUCCAAAAUCGUUCCACUUUAGCCUCCACUUAUUUUCCUAAAGAUACUUGAUCUCAGAUCACUGGUGGAAACUCGUUUCUUCCUUUUGCAGUCCUCUGAUUUGAUUUCAAUGGCAUCCCAGAACACUGACAAUGAACUAGAAUCAAUCAAUCAAGCAAUGCUUAAUUUGGCAAUUCAAUCUACUAUCUUCUCUCCAAACAUGGAAAUAGACAAAGAACAAACAAGAGUUUAUUUUUAUAGUUUCAAAAGAUUGAAUCCCAAUUUACUCCAUUCCACCAUGAUUUUUUUUGAAAUUAACACUUUUAAAGCGGAAACAUUUGAUUUUGAAAUUUCAUAAAAGUAGAAAAAGGGGUAAGAUUGAAAAUUGUUAGCAAAAAAGGUAAUUGAAUAGGUCAAAUGAGAGUAUGUAUGUAUGUAUGUGUAUCAGUGUAUUGUAUGAAUGUAUGAUUACCACUUACACUGGAACAGCAACAAUGUCGAGACAAGCAUCUCGUAUUGAAUUGGAAGAUUUGGCCAUCGAUUUCAAUUAAUCCUUUCGCCAGCCCGCCCGCCCACCCUUUGAAGGAAAUGAACUCAAGUACUCAACUGGUUUUCGUCGUCUCGGUCCUUCUACUGUAUGUCUGUGUUUGUUGUAACGUAGAGUAUUGG
This 1900-nucleotide long non-coding RNA is filed under the name Aquilegia coerulea. RNAcentral's name for it is "long non-coding RNA (ACOE_LNC001253)". The record is from RNAcentral. Lineage: Eukaryota; Viridiplantae; Streptophyta; Magnoliopsida; Ranunculales; Ranunculaceae.